ACGCACGAGCGGACAGAUGGGAGCUUGCUCCCUGAUGUUAGCGGCGGACGGGUGAGUAACACGUGGGUAACCUGCCUGUAAGACUGGGAUAACUCCGGGAAACCGGGGCUAAUACCGGAUGGUUGUUUGAACCGCAUGGUUCAGACAUAAAAGGUGGCUUCGGCUACCACUUACAGAUGGACCCGCGGCGCAUUAGCUAGUUGGUGAGGUAACGGCUCACCAAGGCGACGAUGCGUAGCCGACCUGAGAGGGUGAUCGGCCACACUGGGACUGAGACACGGCCCAGACUCCUACGGGAGGCAGCAGUAGGGAAUCUUCCGCAAUGGACGAAAGUCUGACGGAGCAACGCCGCGUGAGUGAUGAAGGUUUUCGGAUCGUAAAGCUCUGUUGUUAGGGAAGAACAAGUGCCGUUCAAAUAGGGCGGCACCUUGACGGUACCUAACCAGAAAGCCACGGCUAACUACGUGCCAGCAGCCGCGGUAAUACGUAGGUGGCAAGCGUUGUCCGGAAUUAUUGGGCGUAAAGGGCUCGCAGGCGGUUUCUUAAGUCUGAUGUGAAAGCCCCCGGCUCAACCGGGGAGGGUCAUUGGAAACUGGGGAACUUGAGUGCAGAAGAGGAGAGUGGAAUUCCACGUGUAGCGGUGAAAUGCGUAGNGNUGUGGAGGAACACCAGUGGCGAAGGCGACUCUCUGGUCUGUAAC
Molecule: ribosomal RNA, 700 nt
Filed under: Bacillus velezensis
Lineage: Bacteria; Bacillati; Bacillota; Bacilli; Caryophanales; Bacillaceae
Description: bacterial SSU rRNA
Rfam family: Bacterial small subunit ribosomal RNA
Source: RNAcentral